This 128-nucleotide small RNA is filed under the name Escherichia fergusonii. Its description in RNAcentral is "RtT RNA". It matches the Rfam family "RtT RNA". Rfam says of the family: This family represents a bacterial cis-regulatory element known as RtT RNA. The exact function of RtT is unknown although it is thought that it may be involved in changing the cellular response in relation to amino acid starvation. The record is from RNAcentral. Lineage: Bacteria; Pseudomonadati; Pseudomonadota; Gammaproteobacteria; Enterobacterales; Enterobacteriaceae.
UGCUCAUGCGGGGAAGGAUGAGAAGCUUCGACUAAGGUUCGACUCGAGCGCCAGCGAGAGAGCGUUGCCGCAGGCAACGACCCGUAGGGCGAAGCGCGCAGCGCUGAGUAAUCCUUCCCCCACCACCA